This 620-nucleotide ribosomal RNA is filed under the name uncultured eukaryote. Its description in RNAcentral is "SSU rRNA". It matches the Rfam family "Eukaryotic small subunit ribosomal RNA", at positions 585 to 1204 of the family's 1831-position model. The record is from RNAcentral.
CCAGCUCCAAUAGCGUAUAUUAAAGUUGUUGCAGUUAAAAAGCUCGUAGUUGGAUUUCUGGUUUGAGCGUCCGGUCGAGUUUAUCUCUGUACUAUGGAUGUUUGGGCCAUUUUUUGUGAGGGGGCUUUUCUGCCAUUCAGUUGGUGGUUGAGUCGACUUGCAUCGUUUACUGUGAAAAAAUUAGAGUGUUUAAAGCAGCCGUUUGGUCAUUUGAAUACAUUAGCAUGGAAUAAUAAGAUACGACCUUGGUCUAUUUUGUUGGUUUGCACACCGAGGUAAUGAUUAAUAGGGACAGUUGGGGGUAUUCAUAUUUCAACGUCAGAGGUGAAAUUCUUGGAUCGUUGAAAGAUGAGCUUAGGCGAAAGCAUUUACCAAGGAUGUUUUCAUUAAUCAAGAACGAAAGUUAGGGGAUCGAAGAUGAUUAGAUACCAUCGUAGUCUUAACCAUAAACUAUGCCGACUCGGGAUUGGCAGUCGUUUAUUUUGAAUGACCUUGUCAGCACCGUAUGAGAAAUCAAAGUCUUUGGGUUCCGGGGGGAGUAUGGUCGCAAGGCUGAAACUUAAAGGAAUUGACGGAAGGGCACCACCAGGAGUGGAGCCUGCGGCUUAAUUCGACUCAAC